This 16-nucleotide ribosomal RNA is filed under the name Navicula phyllepta. RNAcentral's name for it is "partial 5.8S ribosomal RNA". Lineage: Eukaryota; Bacillariophyta; Bacillariophyceae; Naviculales; Naviculaceae. The record is from RNAcentral.
UUACAACUUCAGCAAC